RNAcentral lists this long non-coding RNA (266 nucleotides) under Homo sapiens (human). RNAcentral's name for it is "non-protein coding lnc-ARRDC5-1:1". The record is from RNAcentral. Lineage: Eukaryota; Metazoa; Chordata; Mammalia; Primates; Hominidae.
CAGUACUGGCCGGCCGAGCGCUCUGCCCGCUACCAGUACUUUGUGGUAGAUCCGAUGGCAGAAUACAACAUGCCUCAGUAUAUCCUGCGAGAGUUCAAGGUCACAGAUGCCCGGAUGGCCAGUCCCGGACUGUCCGGCAGUUCCAGUUCACAGACUGGCCGGAACAGGGUGUGCCAAAGUCGGGGGAGGGCUUCAUCGACUUCAUUGGCCAAGUGCAUAAGACUAAGGAGCAGUUUGGCCAGGACGGCCCCAUCUCUGUCCACUGC